AGAGUUUGAUCAUGGCUCAGGACGAUACGCUGGCGGCGUGCCUAAUACAUGCAAGUCGAGCGGACCGAACAGGAGCUUGCUCUUGUUUGGUUAGCGGCGGACGGGUGAGUAACACGUGGGUAACCUACCCGUAAGACCGGGAUAACUCCGGGAAACCGGAGCUAAUACCGGAUAACACCAGAAGACCGCAUGGUCUCUUGGUUGAAAGGCGGCUUCGGCUGUCACUUACGGAUGGGCCCGCGGCGCAUUAGCUAGUUGGUGAGGUAACGGCUCACCAAGGUGACGAUGCGUAGCCGGCCUGAGAGGGUGACCGGCCACACUGGGACUGAGACACGGCCCAGACUCCUACGGGAGGCAGCAGUAGGGAAUCUUCCGCAAUGGACGAAAGUACUGACGGAGCGACGCCGCGUGAGCGAAGAAGGUCUUCGGAUCGUAAAGCUCUGUUGUUAGGGAAGAACGAAGUACCGUUCG
Molecule: ribosomal RNA, 471 nt
Filed under: Geobacillus sp. D-31-55-2
Lineage: Bacteria; Bacillati; Bacillota; Bacilli; Caryophanales; Anoxybacillaceae
Description: bacterial SSU rRNA
Rfam family: Bacterial small subunit ribosomal RNA
Source: RNAcentral